This 329-nucleotide ribosomal RNA is filed under the name uncultured eukaryote. RNAcentral's name for it is "partial 18S ribosomal RNA". It matches the Rfam family "Eukaryotic small subunit ribosomal RNA", at positions 1470 to 1796 of the family's 1831-position model. The record is from RNAcentral.
CCCUUAGAUGUUCUGGGCCGCACGCGCGCUACAAUGAUGAAUUCAACGAGUUUAUAACCUUGGUUGAAAAGCCUGGGUAAUCUUUUGAACAUUCGUCGUGAUGGGGCUAGACCCUUGCAAUUAUUGGUCUCCAACGAGGAAUUCCUAGUAAACGCAAGUCAUCAGCUUGCAUUGAUUACGUCCCUGCCCUUUGUACACACCGCCCGUCGCACCUACCGAUUGAAUGGUCCGGUGAAAUCUUCGGAUUGAGACUUUGAUUUCUUCACGGAAAACGCUGUUUUAAAAAGUUGAUUAAACCUUACCAUUUAGAGGAAGGUGAAGUCGUAACA